UACGAAGGGGGCUAGCGUUGCUCGGAAUCACUGGGCGUAAAGCGCACGUAGGCGGAUCGUUAAGUACCUUGUGAAAUCCCACGGCUCACCCGUGGAACUGCUGGGUAUACUGGCGGGCUUGGGCCAACUAGGGGCAGCUGGAACAAGCGGUGGAGCGGUGAAAUGCGUAGAUAUCGCUUGGAACGCCGAAGGUGAAAACAGGCUGCUGGGGUUGUGCCGACGCUGAGACACGAAAGCCAGGGGAGCAAACGGG
This 253-nucleotide ribosomal RNA is filed under the name uncultured bacterium. Its description in RNAcentral is "partial 16S ribosomal RNA". It matches the Rfam family "Bacterial small subunit ribosomal RNA", at positions 524 to 776 of the family's 1533-position model. The record is from RNAcentral.